GGGUAAAUAUAUAAAUUUUUAUGCUACUACUUAUUUUUUAUCUCUUAACUGUGGCCAGAUACUUAAUGAUUUUAUAGAUAUGUCAUUUAAUUUCAUAGAGAAAUAUGUAUUGCAUAAUAUAAAAUUUUACAUAAGUAGCCGACUCAUUGGAAAAGACACUGAUGCUGGGAAAGAUUGAAGGCAGGAGAAGAGGGCGGAAGAGAAUGACAUGAUUGGAUGGCAUCACUGACUCAAUGAAUAUGAUUUUGAGCAAACUGCAGGAAAUAAUAGAGGACAGGGGAGCCUGGCAUGCUGCAGUCCACAGGGUUGCAAAGAGUCGGACGUGACUUAGUGACUGAACAACAAUAUAUCAUAAACACAAUAAGAUACAAGUAUAACAUAUUUUUAUAUAUAAUUUAAAUAUAAAAUUUAUGUUUGUAUAAAUCAUACAUGCAUUUAAUCUUCAAACCUACGUUUUACCCAUAUUUGUAGAUAAACUAAGGUACAGAGAUGUCUGCUGUCAAGGAACUCAUAUAUAUGUUGGGCUAUAUGUCCCCGGUCUCUCCAACCUGUGACUAAGAUCACAAUUCCCCCUUUGUAUAUAGGCUUUCACGACACAAACUUUCAACCUAUGUGACUGGCCCGAGUCCGAUAUUCCUCUGAUUUCUUUCUGCAAAUACCACCAGGAGAGUCCCAAAGCCCAACAACACAUAUGCCGCAGAGUAAGAAUUUAGAUUCUCCCACUUCAGCCUUUUGGCCUCACAGCAUGUUGCUUCCUCAUCACUAGUGACCUUUGUGAAGGUCAACUGCUCCCACAGCCUAAGCAGGCCUUCAGACACUGUCUACCCCCUCACUGUGGCCUUGAAAAUAAACACUGCUGUUCCUUCUCUCAGCUCUUCUCUUAGAAACACAGUCAAGCUGCCAGGUCACUGGUCUAAGCAUGAACCCGGAAGCAUGAACCCAGAGUUGGUUAAACGACUCGAUCUCAGAUAUGCUUCACAGAGCAGGGACCUGUUCACCCUCGCCCCUUGGCACCUCUGUGACUUGGAAUCCAGGCCCCAGAGAAAGACGGUGGAAAUUUCUGCCUACUGCUGCACAGCUAAAGCAGUGUUGCAGUGACCAUUGCUUAUUCUGCAUUUAUUUGUCCUGGUGAGCACAUCAGAUACGGCAGAGGAAACUUAGGAUGCCUGACCGGUAAGUUAAACACAACUUAAAAUAAUGAAACUUCUUUUGUAGCCAUAACUACUUAUCAAUUUUAAAUUAAAAUACACGUUUUAUUCUGCCUGGAAUUUUAAAAAAAGUUAGGUAACCUAUUUAAUUUAAAAACUUGGAGAAUGAACUAGAAAAUGUUUUAUAGGGCAUUUUUUUGUAAACUGAUUUAAAACUUGCAUGACUUCCUUCAUUAUGAUUAUACUGACAGGAAACUUGUGUUGUCUAAAUUCUGGAAAAGAUGCAUACAACUUGAAAGAAAUAUUAAUUUUCAUCCAGUCAAGUAAUUCCUCAGAAGGAGGAAUAGCUAGUCUGUCGGGUCUUGUGACUUCAGUGGUGCCUUUGUAAUCUAGACUGUCAAGGCCAGGAGAUUACUGUCAUUUUGCAUUUUGUGUAUUUUGAGGAGUUUUAUUCCAUUUUCAUUCUCAAUUCCUUUCCAUUUCAUAAGCCACAACUAAUUAUCUUAACCAUUUC
This is a long non-coding RNA of Bos indicus x Bos taurus (hybrid cattle), 1662 nucleotides long. The record is from Ensembl. Lineage: Eukaryota; Metazoa; Chordata; Mammalia; Artiodactyla; Bovidae.